AACAUCGCGCACCUGCGGGAACCUGCGGAGGGAUCAUUACAAGAAGCCGAAAGGCUGCUUAAAACCAUCGCGAACCUAUCCAUCAGCGUUGCUUCGGCGGGAGGAGGCCGCGGGGCCGGCGUCUGCCGGGCCCGGGGCCCGGGGACCCGCACCCUCUCGGGGGUGCGGGGCCCGCCCGCCGGAGGUAUGAAACUCUUCUGUAUCUAUAGUGGAAUUUCUGAGUAAGCAAGCGAAUAAGUC
RNAcentral lists this unclassified non-coding RNA (240 nucleotides) under soil metagenome. RNAcentral describes it as "partial contains 5.8S ribosomal RNA, internal transcribed spacer 2, and large subunit ribosomal RNA". The record is from RNAcentral.